CCUACGGGAGGCUGCAGUGGGGAAUAUUGGACAAUGGGCGAAAGCCUGAUCCACCCAUGCCGCGUGUGUGAAGAAGGCCUUCGGGUUGUAAAGCACUUUCAGUGGGGAAGAAAGCCUUGGGGCUAAUACCCUCGAGGAAGGACAUCACCCACAGAAGAAGCACCGGCUAACUCCGUGCCAGCAGCCGCGGUAAUACGGAGGGUGCGAGCGUUAAUCGGAAUUACUGGGCGUAAAGCGCGCGUAGGCGGUCUGAUAAGCCGGUUGUGAAAGCCCCGGGCUCAACCUGGGAACGGCAUCCGGAACUGGCAGGCUAGAGUGCAGGAGAGGAGGGUAGAAUUCCCGGUGUAGCGGUGAAAUGCGUAGAGAUCGGGAGGAAUACCAGUGGCGAAGGCGGCCCUCUGGACUGACACUGACGCUGAGGUGCGAAAGCGUGGGUAGCAAACAGGAUUAGAUACCCCGGUAGUC
Molecule: ribosomal RNA, 465 nt
Filed under: Vreelandella stevensii
Lineage: Bacteria; Pseudomonadati; Pseudomonadota; Gammaproteobacteria; Oceanospirillales; Halomonadaceae
Description: partial 16S ribosomal RNA
Rfam family: Bacterial small subunit ribosomal RNA
Source: RNAcentral